UCGGCUGACGGCUCAGUAACACGUGGAUAAUCUGCCCUUAGGUGGAGAAUAAUCUCGGGAAACUGAGAAUAAUACUCCAUAUGUCUAGGAUGCUGGAAUGCACCUAGACUUAAAGCUCCGGCGCCUAAGGAUGAGUCUGCGGACUAUCAGGUUGUAGUCAGGGUAAAGACCUGACUAGCCUACGACGGAUACGGGUUGUGAGAGCAAUAACCCGGAGAUGAUAUCUGAGACACGAUAUCAGGCCCUACGGGGCGCAGCAGGCGCGAAAACUUCACACUGUGCGAAAGCACGAUGAGGGAAUCCCAAGUGCUUGCUCGCAAGAGUAAGCUGUUUCUUUGUUUAAAAUGCAUAGAGAGUAAGAGCUGGGUAAGACGGGUGCCAGCCGCCGCGGUAAUACCUGCAGCUCGAGUGGUGGCCGCUAUUAUUGGGCCUAAAACGUCCGUAGCCGGUUCAAUAAAUGCCUGGGUAAAUCGUGUAGCUUAACUAUACGAAUUCCGGGUAGACUGUUUAACUUGAGACCGGGAGAGGCUAGAGGUACUCCUGGGGUAGAGGUGAAAUUCUGUAAUCCUAGGGGGACCACCAGUGGCGAAGGCGUCUAGCUAGAACGGGUCUGACGGUGAGGGA
Molecule: ribosomal RNA, 624 nt
Filed under: uncultured archaeon
Lineage: Archaea
Description: bacterial SSU rRNA
Rfam family: Archaeal small subunit ribosomal RNA
Source: RNAcentral